GGAUUAGAUACCCGGGUAGUCCACGCCGUAAACGAUGGAUACUAGCUGUUCGGAAGCAAUUCUGAGUGGCUAAGCGAAAGUGAUAAGUAUCCCACCUGGGGAGUACGAACGCAAGUUUGAAACUCAAAGGAAUUGACGGGGGCCCGCACAAGCGGUGGAGCAUGUGGUUUAAUUCGAUGAUACGCGAGGAACCUUACCAGGGCUUAAAUGUAGGUUGACAGGCUUGGAAACAGGUUUUUCUUCGGACAACUUACAAGGUGCUGCAUGGUUGUCGUCAGCUCGUGCCGUGGG
Molecule: ribosomal RNA, 291 nt
Filed under: uncultured bacterium
Lineage: Bacteria
Description: partial 16S ribosomal RNA
Rfam family: Bacterial small subunit ribosomal RNA
Source: RNAcentral